CAGACCACCAGCUAAGGUCCCAAAAUAUAUGUUAAGUGGAAAAGGAUGUGGCGUUGCCCAGACAACUAGGAUGUUGGCUUAGAAGCAGCCAUCAUUUAAAGAGUGCGUAAUAGCUCACUAGUCGAGUGACACUGCGCCGAAAAUGUACCGGGGCUAAACAUAUUACCGAAGCUGUGGAUUGUCCUUUGGACAAUGGUAGGAGAGCGUUCUAAGGGCGUUGAAGCAUGAUCGUAAGGACAUGUGGAGCGCUUAGAAGUGAGAAUGCCGGUGUGAGUAGCGAAAGACGGGUGAGAAUCCCGUCCACCGAUUGACUAAGGUUUCCAGAGGAAGGCUCGUCCGCUCUGGGUUAGUCGGGUCCUAAGCUGAGGCCGACAGGCGUAGGCGAUGGAUAACAGGUUGAUAUUCCUGUACCACCUAUAAUCGUUUUAAUCGAUGGGGGGACGCAGUAGGAUAGGCGAAGCGUGCGAUUGGAUUGCACGUCUAAGCAGUAAGGCUGAGUAUUAGGCAAAUCCGGUACUCGUUAAGGCUGAGCUGUGAUGGGGAGAAGACAUUGUGUCUUCGAGUCGUUGAUUUCACACUGCCGAGAAAAGCCUCUAGAUAGAAAAUAGGUGCCCGUACCGCAAACCGACACAGGUAGUCAAGAUGAGAAUUCUAAGGUGAGCGAGCGAACUCUCGUUAAGGAACUCGGCAAAAUGACCCCGUAACUUCGGGAGAAGGGGUGCUCUUUAGGGUUAACGCCCAGAAGAGCCGCAGUGAAUAGGCCCAAGCGACUGUUUAUCAAAAACACAGGUCUCUGCUAAACCGUAAGGUGAUGUAUAGGGGCUGACGCCUGCCCGGUGCUGGAAGGUUAAGAGGAGUGGUUAGCUUCUGCGAAGCUACGAAUCGAAGCCCCAGUAAACGGCGGCCGUAACUAUAACGGUCCUAAGGUAGCGAAAUUCCUUGUCGGGUAAGUUCCGACCCGCACGAAAGGCGUAACGAUUUGGGCACUGUCUCAACGAGAGACUCGGUGAAAUCAUAGUACCUGUGAAGAUGCAGGUUACCCGCGACAGGACGGAAAGACCCCGUGGAGCUUUACUGUAGCCUGAUAUUGAAAUUCGGCACAGCUUGUACAGGAUAGGUAGGAGCCUUUGAAACGUGAGCGCUAGCUUACGUGGAGGCGCUGGUGGGAUACUACCCUAGCUG
Molecule: ribosomal RNA, 1182 nt
Filed under: Staphylococcus aureus
Lineage: Bacteria; Bacillati; Bacillota; Bacilli; Caryophanales; Staphylococcaceae
Description: partial 23S ribosomal RNA
Rfam family: Bacterial large subunit ribosomal RNA
Source: RNAcentral